AACGAACGCUGGCGGCAGGCCUAACACAUGCAAGUCGAACGCUGUAGCGAUACAGAGUGGCAGACGGGUGAGUAACGCGUGGGAACAUUCCUAGAGGUACGGAAUAGCUCAGGGAAACUUGGGGUAAUACCGUAUAAGCCCUUACGGGGAAAGAUUUAUCGCCUUCAGAUUGGCCCGCGUUGGAUUAGCUAGUUGGUGAGGUAAUGGCUCACCAAGGCGACGAUCCAUAGCUGGUUUGAGAGAAUGACCAGCCACACUGGGACUGAGACACGGCCCAGACUCCUACGGGAGGCAGCAGUGGGGAAUCUUGGACAAUGGGCGCAAGCCUGAUCCAGCCAUGCCGCGUGAGUGACGAAGGCCUUCGGGUUGUAAAGCUCUUUUGACGGGGACGAUAAUGACGGUACCCGUAGAAUAAGUCCCGGCUAACUUCGUGCCAGCCGCCGCCGUAA
This 449-nucleotide ribosomal RNA is filed under the name uncultured bacterium. RNAcentral's name for it is "partial 16S ribosomal RNA". It matches the Rfam family "Bacterial small subunit ribosomal RNA", at positions 29 to 523 of the family's 1533-position model. The record is from RNAcentral.